Salmo salar (Atlantic salmon) is the source of this 73-nucleotide non-coding RNA. The record is from Rfam. NCBI's taxonomy places the organism in Eukaryota, Metazoa, Chordata, Actinopteri, Salmoniformes, Salmonidae.
GCCCCAGUGGCCUAAUGGAUAAGGCACUGGCCUCCUAAGCCAGGGAUUGUGGGUUCAAGUCCUAUCUGGGGUG